RNAcentral lists this ribosomal RNA (497 nucleotides) under uncultured bacterium. RNAcentral's name for it is "partial 16S ribosomal RNA". It matches the Rfam family "Bacterial small subunit ribosomal RNA", at positions 28 to 507 of the family's 1533-position model. The record is from RNAcentral.
GAUGAACGCUGGCGGCGUGCCUAAUACAUGCAAGUCGAGCGAACAGACGAGGAGCUUGCUCCUCUGACGUUAGCGGCGGACGGGUGAGUAACACGUGGAUAACCUACCUAUAUGACUGGGAUAACUUCGGGAAACCGGAGCUAAUACCGGAUAAUAUAUUGAACCGCAUGGUUCAAUAGUGAAAGACGGUUUUGCUGUCACUUAUAGCUGGAUCCGCGCCGCAUUAGCUAGUUGGUAAGGUAACGGCUUACCAAGGCGACGAUGCGUAGCCGACCUGAGAGGGUGAUCGGCCACACUGGAACUGAGACACGGUCCAGACUCCUACGGGAGGCAGCAGUAGGGAAUCUUCCGCAAUGGGCGAAAGCCUGACGGAGCAACGCCGCGUGAGUGAUGAAGGUCUUCGGAUCGUAAAACUCUGUUAUUAGGGAAGAACAGAUGUGUAAGUAACUAUGCACGUCUUGACGGUACCUAAUCAGAAAGCCACGGCUAACUACGUG